AUGGCUAACCUUGACAAAAUAGUGAAGAGCAGAGACAUCACACUGGCAACGAAGGUCCGCAUAUACAAAGCAAUGGUGUUCCCCAUAAUAACCUAUGGCUGCGAGAGGUGGACCAUAAGGAAGGCUGAGCGAAGGAAGAUAGACACUUUUGAACUCUGGUGCUGGAGGAAAAUCCUGAGAGUGCCUUGGAUUGCAAGAAGAUCCAACCAGUCCAUCCUCCAGGAAAUAAUGCCCGGCUGCUCACUGGAGGGAAGGAUAUUAGAGGCAAAGCUGAAGUAUUUUGGCCACAUCAUGAGGAGACAGGAAAGCUUGGAAAAGAUCACGAUGAUGGGGAAAAUGGAAGGAAAAAGGAAGAGAGGCCGACCAAGGGCAAGAUGGAUGGACGGUAUCCUUGAAGUGACUGGGUUGACCCUGAAGGAACUGGGGGUGGUGACGGCCGACAGGGAGCUCUGGCGUGGACUGGUCCAUGAGGUCACGAAGAGUCGGGGAUGACUAAGCGACUGAGCAGCAGUAGCAAUCAGACUAUAUGACUGCUUUCCCUGUUCUCAAAUAAGAACCUCUCAAAUCUUCCAUUUGAGACUGCUAGACUUGUGCUCAACUGACAUUUUGAAACUCUUGGUGGGACCAUUUCACUGAUUUUUUUUUCCUCUGGGAAGCAAAACAAUUCUUUAAGAAUUACAUCUGCAAGAUGCAUUUUAUCAAAAAGCCACAUCUUUGCACAUAUAUAGAAUUCAAAGUCUCAAAAGGAAACUAAGCUUCAAUUCAAAAAUGUCUUUUCAAACAUAUGCCAAGGUUGGCCCACGUUUCAAUGCAGCCCAGCACUCCAAUAUACGACUCAGAAAUAUGCUAAGCAAAGCGUGCUCCCCACCCAUUCUGUUUUCCAUUCUCCUUUUGCACUCUCAGCAGCCAUUUCCUUUAGGUUAAAGGGUGCCUUGGUCUCAGGUGGGGGAAGAUGGGGGUGGGCGAUAUGCAUCCCUCUUAUGCACUCUGGUUUUUAAGCACUAGUUUUUGUUGCCUGGGGGAGUUUUGAAAGAGAGCGUGUCUCUCAGGCACAUGGCAGCCCUGACUGGGUAACAGUGCAGAACGUAAAGUGUUGUCUAUUAGGUAGGGAGACUGGUUAAUACAAAGAGUUGUUGGUAAUAACAAUGUCCUUUCAGCACUGACAGAGACAAAGCACCUGCAUGUGGUGUCUACCACUGCGUGCAGCGACUGAUGGUCUGAGGGAAGCGUUGGAGAGCAUUUGAAUUUCACAUCCAGGGAGAGUUGGCCUAUCAUUAAAAAACCCUAAUUUCAGUGUCAGGUGGAGUUCCAGGUAAUCGAUCAUGAUGUCAGCAGACACGGGCUCUUCCUUGCUGUCUCACCUCCAAGUCAGCCUUGGGGUUUCCAAUUAAACUUAUGGCACAAAUCUGGAGGGAAGAAGAAAGGGAGAAAACGGGAAAGAUGAGGAAUAGGAUUGCGCCAGGAUGGUCAGGGCGGAAGAGGAAGAGUGCAACUGAAGCAGGAAUGGGGAGAUGAUGAAAGUCCUCGAUCCUUUGGGAGAAAAGGCACACUGAAAGAUGCUAAGUUUUACUGGGUUGCUAGAACUUCACAGUACAGUAGGGUCUCACUUAUCCCACAUAAACGGGCCGGCAGAAAGUUGGAUAAGCGAAUAUGUUGGAUAAUAAGGAGAGAUUAAGGAGAAGCCUAUUAAACAUCAAAUUAGGUUAUGAUUUUACAAAUUAAGCACCAAAACAUCAUGUUAUACAACAAAUUUGACAGAAAAAGUAGUUCAAUACGCAGUAAUGCUACGUAGUAAUUACUGUAUUUACGAGUUUAGCACCAAAGUAUCACGAUGUAUUGAAAACAUUGACUACAAAAAUGCGUUGGAUAAUCCAGAACGUUGGAUAAGCGAAUGUUGGAUAAGUGAGACUCUACUGUACUCUCAUUGUUUCCAAGUUCAAUACUGGAAGAAUUUGUGUGCAUUUUGGUAUGCAUUUUCCCCAUUGCAUGUAUUUUUAGAUAUUUAUCCAUUUUCUUUACCGUGUUUCUGUACAUUUUUCAUAUUGAUAUACCGUAUAUACUCGAGUAGAAGCCAACCCAAAUAUAAGCCGAGGCACUUAAUUUUACCACAAAAAAACUGGGAAAACAUUGACUCCAGUAUAAGCCGAGGGUGGUAAAUUUCAGAAAUAAAUAUAGAUAGCAAUAAAAUUACACUAAUUGAGGCAUCUGUAGGUUAAAUGUUUUUGAAUAUUUACAUAAAGCUCAAAUUUCAGACUGUCCAACUCUGAUCAAAUCAUUAUUCUCAUCUUCUUCAAUGUAAAUGUGCUUAUGCAUCCUUUUAAUAAUACAGUAGAGUCUCACUUAUCCAACGUUCUGGAUUAUCCAAUGCAUUUUUGUAGUCAAUGUUUUCAAUAUAUCAUGAUAUUUUGGUGCUAAAUUUGUAAAUACAGUAAUUACUACACAGCAUUACUGUGUAUUGAACUACUUUUUCUGUCCAGUAGAGGUAGUAUCCAAAAAUAUCAUUUUCAGGUUCUGCUAGAAUCAGUCAUGUUAGGUGGCAGCAUAUCAUGAGAGGAGAUCUAGGGAAAAUGUCAGGUUUAUCACUAUGACAAUUUUAUCUAAAAAUGUGUGCAAGACAUUACUAAAGCUAGAAUUAUGUAAUACAGAGAAGGACAAAGCAUGCUGAAAAAAUCACAUUUACCUCACGGAAGAGCUCUGACAGCUAAAUGAGUUGUUGGAAUUUAAAAAACACCUGAAGAUCUAUCUCUUUUGGCAGGUCUACCAAGUCAGUUUUAAUCUUGAAUUUUAAACUUGCAUCUUGUGUUCACUAUAUUUUAAUCUUUGUUCUGUGUAUUUUAAUAUAUGUAUUAUAUAAUGUUUAUGAUGAUUAUGUGUUUUAGCUAUGUUAUAACCUUCCUCGAACCACGAGAAGAGGUAGGUAAGAAAUAAAAUUAUUAUUAUUAUUAUUAUUAUUAUUAUUAUUAUUAUUAUUAUUAUUAUUUGAAACACAACAAGGUAAGUCCACAGCAGACACUCUGCUGGCUGUUGUAUUGGAUCACACGUUGGACACUUCCCAAGUGUCUAGGACUGUGUGAUGUAUCGGCGAAUAAUGCGUGCAGAUCCCAGUAAGGUGGCCUUCUGCAGCUGGCAGCUGGUAAUUUUGUCAGCGCCGAUUGUGUUUAAGUGCAGGGCAAGGUCUUUAAGCACUGUACCCAGUGUGCCGAUCGCCAUUGGGACCACCUUGACUGGCUUGUGCCAGAGUCUUUGCAAUUCAAUCUUUACGUCCUCAUAUCGUAUCAGCUUUUCCAGUUGUUUUUCUUCAAUCCUGCCGUCCCCUGUAAUUGCAACAUUGACAAUCCAUACUUUGUUUUUUAACAUGAUUGUGAGGUCAGGAGUAUUGUGCUCCAAAACUCUGUUAUUAUUAUUUUAUUGUAUGACACAGCAAACAAGAUAGAUAUGCUGGAUUUCGUUUCACAAAAAAACAAGUCAAACACUUCCCAAGUGUCUAGGACUGUGUGAUGUAUUUUCGGAUGAUGCAUGCAGAUCCCAGUAGGGUGGCCUUUUGCAGUUGGCAGAUCGUAAUUUUGUCAAUGUCUAUUGUUUCCAAAUGCCGACUGAGAUCUUUUGGCACGGCACCCAAUGUGCCGAUCACCACCGGAACCACCUGUACUGGUUUUUGCCAAAGUCUUUGAAAUUCAAUCUUGAGGUCCUGAUAGCAGCUUUUUCCUGUUGUUUUUCAUCAAUGAGACUGUCACCUGGGAUAGCAACAUCACUGAUCCAGACCUUUUUCUUCUCUACAACUGUGCUGUCUUGUGUGUUGUGUUCCAGAACUUUGUCAGUCUGGAUUCGGAAGUCCCACAGUAUCUUUGCGUGCUCAUUCUCCAAUACUUUUGCAGGUUUGUGAUCCCACCAGUUCUUUACUACAGGGAGGUGGUAUUUGAGGCAUAAGUUCCAAUGAAUCAUUUGGGCCACAUAGUUGUGCCUCUGUUUGUAGUCUGUCUGUGCGAUUUUCUUACAGCAGCUGAGGAUAUGAUCAAUGGUUUCGUCAGCUUCCUUGCACAGUCUGUAUUUUGGGUCAUCAGCUGAUUUUUCAAUCUUGGCCUUAAUUGCAUUUGUUCUGAUGGCUUGCUCCUGGGCUGCAAGGAUCAGGCCUUCUGUCUCCUUCUUCGGGGUCCCAUUCGUGAACCAUAGCCAGGUCUUCUCCUUAUUAGCUUUUCUUUCAAUUUUGUCAAGGAACUUUCCAUUCAAUGUUUUGUUGUUUUAUUAUUAGGAAAGCCAUUUUAUAACAUGUGAUAGGAUUCAUCCAGAUAACAAAUCAGUGGACAUGAGGGCCAUAACCUUCCAGUAUGCUGUCUUACGUUCCCAUCUUCUAGCAAGCACACAUUAUAUAGACUCAAAGACCACUACUAACAUUUUGCCCCACAUGAACUGUCAGGAAACUUGUCAGUCAGCCAGCAUGCAAGACAUCCAGUUAACUUGCCAGCCUUCUGUCCUCUCACUCUGGUUUACCUUCUGUUUAUUUUGAUCACAUCUUUGUUAGAUAACAGAGGAAAAUAGUUAUUUCUACGAGCUGUCUGUCUUCUGCUCUUCACCUCACAUUGCCUGCCCAACUGCGAGGUUGCCAGGUGUUGAUGGUGAAAAUAAUGGACACAAUCAGAGUAACUACAAGGUUCAAGGUGAGGGGAGGUUUAGGGGGUGCACCGUCUGUCAGGGGUGGGGGGGGGGGACUCCUGUCUGGCCGCCUGCCUCUCUGUCAUUCGGUGCAAAACCUAGGAGUGUGUCUCUAGAAAGAACAGGAGGCUCACUC
This 4786-nucleotide long non-coding RNA is filed under the name Anolis carolinensis (green anole). RNAcentral describes it as "lncRNA (ENSACAG00000037799.1)". Lineage: Eukaryota; Metazoa; Chordata; Lepidosauria; Squamata; Anolidae. The record is from RNAcentral.